This is a long non-coding RNA of Panthera uncia (snow leopard), 530 nucleotides long. RefSeq lists it as uncharacterized. The record is from RefSeq and is a predicted model, not a curated record. Lineage: Eukaryota; Metazoa; Chordata; Mammalia; Carnivora; Felidae. The transcript is spliced from 4 exons.
UUUAGCCUGGCAGAGCCAUCCUGAAGAGGAAGAGCUGAAGAAACCUAUUUUGAAUUGGAAAAGAAAAACUCAGUGUAUUGUGAGCCUCUCAUACCAUGAUGAUCCAGGAUUCCAGCUUCUUUGGGGAAGAUUCACAGGGAAUUUAACCGAAUGUAGGGUGGAAGUGAGGUGACUAAAGCAGAGAGUCACAUGACUCUCAGAUACCAUCACAUUGGUUUUCGCCUACAGCCUGGGAGAUACAUUGGGGAUACUGUAGCCGUCUGAUUCCGAGCCUGAAGAUGAAGGUAAUACACAGAGAUGUUUACUACUUCCUUUUCCUCUUCAAGAAUCACAGAGCAGUGGAGUUGAAGCCACUGAAUUAAGUAAAUCCUAAAACCCGAACGACCUAUGGACUUACAGGUAUGAGGGUCUAUAAAUGUUCCUGUUGUUUAAGCCAGUUUCAUUUGACUUUUCCAAUGCUUGCUAUGGAAGGCCUUCCAAUUAAUUGAAUAACUAACAGCUGAGAAUAAAAAGAGCUAGCCCAAGACUUC